This 210-nucleotide ribosomal RNA is filed under the name Triticum aestivum (bread wheat). Its description in RNAcentral is "partial small subunit ribosomal RNA". The record is from RNAcentral. Lineage: Eukaryota; Viridiplantae; Streptophyta; Magnoliopsida; Poales; Poaceae.
GUGUUCAAGCUCGACUUCGCCAAGGCCUUCGACUCCAUUGCCUGGCCUAGUCUUCGCCGGAUCAUGGAGGUGAGGGGGUUCCCCGCUGUGUGGUGUGACUGGAUGGACCUCAUCCUCUCGUCCUCCACUGCGGCGGUCCUCCUUAACGGGGUGCUCGGGCGCUGGUUCGCCGUCCGCAAGGGGCUGCGCCAGGGCGACCCCAUAUCCCCG